Dunckerocampus dactyliophorus (ringed pipefish) is the source of this 68-nucleotide small nucleolar RNA. RefSeq annotates it as small nucleolar RNA SNORD73. The transcript has a single exon. The record is from RefSeq and is a predicted model, not a curated record. NCBI's taxonomy places the organism in Eukaryota, Metazoa, Chordata, Actinopteri, Syngnathiformes, Syngnathidae.
AAUGAAUGAUGACUAACAGUUUCGGUCCCAAAUGACUGCUGAUGAUGACUUUGAGAUCACCUGAUUUU